ACCACCAGCUACCAUCACUGCCUCUCAGUCUGUAUUGACAACCAACCCCCCCUGGAGAGCCCUGUAGAGAGUCGCUAGAUGUGGGCCAUGGCAAGACAGUUAAGCUGCCACCAGCUGCCACAACGGUCACUUUGCGGACAACCAAGCCCCCUGGAGAGCCUUGUUAAGGGUUGUUAGAUGUGGAGCAACCUUCUGCCUUCACAGAAUAGAUGAAGCCCACAGUAACAGGUUGGAGACUACAUAAGACUUUGACAGUUGGCGGGAAACCAUCAUCAACUGGAGAGAUGCCGGUAAAGGAAUGUCUGCGACUAAGUCAAGGGCCACUGGAUAAGGGUUGUUGAUGGCAAAACAGGUUGGAGACUACAUAAGACUUUGACAGUUGGCGGGAAACCAUCAUCAACUGGAGAGAUGCCGAAUUUCCCUUCAUCGAGAGCUGGCGAGCCUGUGUGCCAGAGGUGGACCAGCAGUGGAUUUAAAGAUGUUUCGGAUAUCAGCUGUUCCUAUGGAUCCCACAGCGGUUAUGUAGGAUGGCGCUGACCUGUCCCUUCUGCAGGGUGACCCAUCUUACCAAGCAGGGUCUGUACCGGCUGACCAGGAUGGUGCUGGACAUAGAUUCUUUUUACAUUCUACAACUGAGUAUUUGCACUGAAUCAAGUGCAAGAAGAAUCAGAUAGGCUGGAGUGAUGCCAUAUUGGACCAGCUUGACCCGGCUACCUGGUCUUUGUUUCCAGUACAGAUGAUGUACCAUAGCGCAUGUGGCAAUCGUGUCAUAUACUUGUUGCCCCAGAGAAGCUUAGGUAACAGUCUCAGAAGCAGAUCACCGAGCUGCACAAUUUACGUUGGACAAAGCAACAACUGCAGUACAUGAGCGACUGUGCUUUGUACCGCAAGUCUGUGCAGUUAAGUUAAUUUUGACAACAACUUUCGAAGAACCCCCCCACACUACCCAUUACGAACAUACCAGUGGUUUCUUCAUGUUUAUCAGCAGGAGGUUUUAUCUCGGUCGGAAGAGGUCAAGGCGGCAGUGACAUCCAUCUUUGGUCGGGUAUUAAAGAUGGACUCUACUAAGAAGUAACCAAGAAGCUGGCGGGUGAAGCUGCUCGGACAGCUGCGUGGUCCACUUACGUGGGUAAUGAGUAUGGCCAGGUACUCAUGAGUGUCAUGACAGCCAUCGAAGGGUGUGGGCUCGAGGAGAUGGUGUCAGGCAUCAUAAGACACUAUUCAGAGGCUGGUGUUUUACCGCCAGUCCUGCUGUAUGUGGACAGCAACUGUUGCGGGAAGUCCGCACUGAUGGACAUUUUCAGGAGUGCUUGACCUGACCUUGUCGUGCGAUUGGACAUGUGGCACUUCAUGCGGCAUCUUGCUGUAGGGGCCACAAAAGGCAACCACAGACUGUACGCUACAUUCAUUGGUCAGCUUUCAGCCGCCAUCUUCCAGUGGGACAGGGUCGACCUGAAUCUCAUUAAGUCAGCAAAACGGGAAGAACUUAUUCAUUCCAACAUCCGAAACCCCUCUGACUCAGAUAUCCAAGCCCGUCUAGACCGGAAGGAGUUGUCCCUGCACUGUCGUCGAAUGACUCAAAGCACAGAGGUCAUCACGGAGAGGAUCCAGGCUGUCUUGGAGUUGUUCGAUGGUGACUCUGGAAGGGAUACCAUGGGUGUACCACUGCUUCAUCAUGAGCGUAUCUGGGAGCUCUGGAAACAGCAGCAGUGCAUGUUGAGUGCCUCCAGGACCCUAAAGGUGUACAGCUUUACACUCAGACAGGCACACUGAAGAAGGGGGUGUGGUGUUGCCUGUGUAUCGCUGUGCGCGAGGAUCUACCUCCUUAAGAGUCUUUCCAUCUGCACUUACAGCGAUUCAUUCCUGGAACCAGUGCUAGCGCCAGCAACUUCCAGACUUACCUGCUGGAGGGCCUGAUGCGCUGGAACGAAGACAGACAGAUUGCUGCAACUAGCACUGAGAAGGAAACUGUUUUGUAUGACGCACGGUUGAAGACUGCCACUAGCAGACUGAGUCAGGAGCUCUUCAACAAGAAUAUUUUCCCUACAUUCCAGCCUCCAAACAAAUACACUGGAGAGCUGAUAGGUAUUGAAUACCUCUACAGCCAAACUGGUAAGCCUCUAGGUGCUCAAGACCCUGUUAGUGAGACCGAGUCUGAUGCCAGCCUCUUGGAUGAGGGCUUUGAGGAACCCGGGGCCAUGAAUGAUGAUGAUCCAACCAUCCAGAUAGAGGACUCAUUCCUACCUGCUUUGAGUCGUGAGAGGGCUAAGCAGUUCAUGCAGCAGAACAGGCCGUCU
Dreissena polymorpha is the source of this 2297-nucleotide long non-coding RNA. RefSeq lists it as uncharacterized. The transcript has 9 exons. NCBI's taxonomy places the organism in Eukaryota, Metazoa, Mollusca, Bivalvia, Myida, Dreissenidae. The record is from RefSeq and is a predicted model, not a curated record.